Molecule: ribosomal RNA, 497 nt
Filed under: uncultured bacterium
Lineage: Bacteria
Description: partial 16S ribosomal RNA
Rfam family: Bacterial small subunit ribosomal RNA
Source: RNAcentral
GAUGAACGCUGGCGGCGUGCCUAAUACAUGCAAGUCGAGCGAACAGACGAGGAGCUUGCUCCUCUGACGUUAGCGGCGGACGGGUGAGUAACACGUGGAUAACCUACCUAUAAGACUGGGAUAACUUCGGGAAACCGGAGCUAAUACCGGAUAAUAUAUUGAACCGCAUGGUUCAAUAGUUAAAGACGGUUUUGCUGUCACUUAUCGAUGGAUCCGCGCCGCAUUAGCUAGUUGGUAAGGUAACGGCUUACCAAGGCAACGAUGCGUAGCCGACCUGAGAGGGUGAUCGGCCACACUGGAACUGAGACACGGUCCAGACUCCUACGGGAGGCAGCAGUAGGGAAUCUUCCGCAAUGGGCGAAAGCUUGACGGAGCAACGCCGCGUGAGUGAUGAAGGUCUUCGGAUCGUAAAACUCUGUUAUUAGGGAAGAACAAAUGUGUAAGUAACUAUGCACGUCUUGACGGUACCUAAUCAGAAAGCCACGGCUAACUACGUG